CGGGGAACUGAAAUAUCUAAGUACCCGGAGGAAAAGAAAUCAACCGAGAUUCCCUCAGUAGCGACGAGCGAACGGGGACUAGCCCAAAAGCGCACAGUGUUUUAGUUGAACAGUCUGGAAAGGCUGGCCAUAGACGGUGAUAGCCCGGUAAGCGAAAGGGCACCGUGCGUGAAAUUGAGUAAGGCGGGGCACGUGAAACCUUGUCUGAACAUGGGGGGACCAU
Molecule: ribosomal RNA, 223 nt
Filed under: Rhodanobacter sp. FW104-R5
Lineage: Bacteria; Pseudomonadati; Pseudomonadota; Gammaproteobacteria; Lysobacterales; Rhodanobacteraceae
Description: partial 23S ribosomal RNA
Rfam family: Bacterial large subunit ribosomal RNA
Source: RNAcentral